GGGCUCGAACGUAAGAUGACUGUAGGUGAAAGCUUACAUCUCUUCGGAGCAUUUUACGAGGUGCUGCAUGGUUGUCGUCAGCUCGUGCCGUGAGGUGUCGGGUUAAGUCCCAUAACGAGCGCAACCCCUACCUUUAGUUGCCAUCAGGUUAAGCUGGGGACUCUAAAGGAACUGCCUACGCAAGUAGUGAGGAAGGCGGGGAUGACGUCAAAUCAGCACGGCCCUUACGUCCAGGGCUACACACGUGCUACAAUGGCCGAUACAGAGGGCAGCUACCUGGUGACAGGAUGCAAAUCUCCAAAGUCGGUCUCAGUUCGGAUCGGAGUCUGCAACCCGACUCCGUGAAGUUGGAUUCGCUAGUAAUCGCGCAUCAGCCAUGGCGCGGUGAAUACGUUCCCGGGCCUU
Molecule: ribosomal RNA, 405 nt
Filed under: uncultured Sphingobacteriales bacterium
Lineage: Bacteria; Pseudomonadati; Bacteroidota; Sphingobacteriia; Sphingobacteriales
Description: bacterial SSU rRNA
Rfam family: Bacterial small subunit ribosomal RNA
Source: RNAcentral